UACCAAGUAAUAACUAAUACUAAUUGAAGGAAAAAUUUAACACCCAUAAUAUUACAAAAUUUAUGAUUCUCAACGGGAGUCAAUUGUGAAACUCCAAGCAUCACUAGAGAUGGCAAUGGGUUAGGUAUGGACGUCGAGUAGACUAUUAUCCAUACAUGCCCUAUACUUACCUCGAGGUGGGAUGGAAUAGGUAGAGCUAAACAAGGCAAGUUGGAU
This 216-nucleotide long non-coding RNA is filed under the name Elaeis guineensis (African oil palm). RNAcentral's name for it is "long non-coding RNA (EGUI_LNC041855)". Lineage: Eukaryota; Viridiplantae; Streptophyta; Magnoliopsida; Arecales; Arecaceae. The record is from RNAcentral.